RNAcentral lists this ribosomal RNA (429 nucleotides) under uncultured bacterium. Its description in RNAcentral is "bacterial SSU rRNA". It matches the Rfam family "Bacterial small subunit ribosomal RNA", at positions 355 to 796 of the family's 1533-position model. The record is from RNAcentral.
UCAAGAACAUUUGGCAAUGGGCGCAAGCCUGACCAUGCGACGCCGCGUGGUUGACGAAGUCCUUCGGGACGUAAAGACCUUUUAUGAGGGAGGAAGUAAUUGACGUUACCUCAUGAAUAAGGGGCUCCUAACUCUGUGCCAGCAGGAGCGGUAAUACAGAGGCCCCAAGCAUUAUCCGGAAUCACUGGGCGUAAAGGGUGUGCAGGCGGCUGAGUUAGUCUUUCGUGAAAGGCCCCGGGCUCAACCCGAGGAGCGCAGGAGAAACGGCAAAGCUUCGAGGACGCGAGAGGUAGAGGGAACUCAUGGUGUAGGGGUGAAAUCCGUUGAUAUCAUGGGGAACACCAAAUGCGAAGGCACUCUACUGGCGCGCUCCUGACGCUCAUACACGAAAGCGUGGGAAUCGAACGGGAUUAGAUACCCCGGUAGUCC